UUAGAGACUUAGAAGUUGGGGGCAGAGAGCAUGGAAAAGGGUCAGACAUUCAAGAGCAACAAAGGCCUGGUUGACACCAUCCUCUACCAACUGGAGACACAAAUAUUCUUCAACGGUAGAACUCGCCAACUGUGGUAUAGUCACAUCACAGAAUACUAUACAGCCAGGAAAAAAGACGCCACGAUCCCUUCACGGCCUCUCUUCCGCGAAUCUCCAAGACAACGUUGGGGUUUCACUAAGUUCCCCAGGCUGGCCUCGAAAUUUCGAUCCUCCUGCCUCAGCCUCCCAAGUCUCUAGGAUGACAGCACCCUCCACCUUCUGCAAUGUGGGCCCUUGCUGGAUCUUGGACUUCCUGACCUCCAGAACCUAUAAGAAAUCAAUUUUCUGUUGUUCAUAAAUUCUCCAGUCUCAGGUAUUCUGUCAUAGCAACG
Molecule: long non-coding RNA, 431 nt
Organism: Marmota monax (woodchuck)
Lineage: Eukaryota; Metazoa; Chordata; Mammalia; Rodentia; Sciuridae
Exons: 3
Source: RefSeq, a predicted model, not a curated record